This 440-nucleotide ribosomal RNA is filed under the name uncultured bacterium. RNAcentral's name for it is "partial 16S ribosomal RNA". It matches the Rfam family "Bacterial small subunit ribosomal RNA", at positions 338 to 795 of the family's 1533-position model. The record is from RNAcentral.
CCUACGGGUGGCAGCAGUGGGGAAUAUUGCACAAUGGGGGAAACCCUGAUGCAGCGACGCAGCGUGAGUGAAGAAGUAUCUCGGUAUGUAAAGCUCUAUCAGCAGGGAAGAAAAUGACGGUACCUGAAUAAGAAGCUCCGGCUAACUACGUGCCAGCAGCCGCGGUCAUACGAAGGGGGCACCCGUUCACAGGAUUUACGGGGUGUAAAGGGAGCGGAGGCGGGGCUGCAAGUCCGGAGUGAAAGCCUAUGGUCUAAUCACGGUAUCGUUAUGGAUACUGUGGAACUUGAGUGUGGGAGGGGCAGGCGGAAUUCCUAGUGUAGCGGUGAAAUGCGUAGAUAUUAGGAAGAACACCGGCGGCGAAGGCAGCCUGCUGGACCGUAACUGACGUUGAGGCACGAAAGCGUGGGGAGCAAACAGGAUUAGAUACCCGGGUAGUC